Long non-coding RNA from Amphimedon queenslandica, 995 nucleotides. RefSeq lists it as uncharacterized. Lineage: Eukaryota; Metazoa; Porifera; Demospongiae; Haplosclerida; Niphatidae. The transcript is spliced from 7 exons. The record is from RefSeq and is a predicted model, not a curated record.
UUUAAUGUCCUCUCUAUUAUUGAUGUCCUAUACACCUCCUCUUGAUCCAACUGUACAGUAAUUUACAGGUCACGGGACUUUAAUCCUAAACUAAAAAAAAAGAAAGAUAGAGACAGAGAAAAUUAAAGUAAAAUCUCCAGUACUAGUGAAAAUGAAGCUUCCAUAAGUUCCAUUCGGUUCCAUUUCAAUUAGGUAGGUGUUGCUCAUAAAAAUUUAAUUUGAGAAAAUGGAGGACAAGCGAAGACAAGACUGACACCACUAGAAGACAAAAUCUCUUAUCAAAGAGGGUUUGGGGCUGCAUGGAGCCACAGGAACUAAUCCCUUAGAUCUGACACCGUGAUUAGUAGAUUGUGAUGUCAAGAACUUGGAGAUCACAUGAUGAAAUUGACGAGCCAGACAAAAGACGUACAUGUAGCAGUUGCUACGGAAAGAUAGAAUCAAUCAAAGAUUUGAUCUUACUUCUCUGUUGUCAGUAGGGCAGAAUGAGAACUGUGACAUUACAGUAGGAGGUUGCUGGUAUGUGGUGUUUGAACCAGAAGAUGAUACUUCUCUUCCUCCUGCUUGUACUGGACUCUCUCCUCUCUAUACAACCAGCCGCUCCCUUUACUAUAAAUGUGUCAGUAGCCGAACCAGUUCUUUCAUCUCCCUCUCGUACUAUGGGAGGAGGAGGAGAGAUAGUGUCACCAUCUCCUACCAGUCCAAUGAGUAGCACAUCAACUGAUAGGAAUAAAUCUCUUGGUUUGUCUCAGAUUUGGUGUCAGUGUCUACUAAAGUGUCUGGACCUCGUAAAUGUUUAAUGUCCAGCAAUGAUGAAGAAACACUUAACAUAAUGAUUAAUGAGAGAGAAGUAAUGAAGAUUAAAGAAAGAAGUGGAAUGAAAUACGUUGACUCUUUCUUCAAGAAAAAAUGAAAUUAUUAUUUUGCUCUUGCUCCAACAUUUCCUAAAUUUUGAAUAGUUUAGAAAUGAGAAGUGAAGUCCUUGAGACAGUAUGAUU